This 493-nucleotide ribosomal RNA is filed under the name uncultured bacterium. RNAcentral's name for it is "partial 16S ribosomal RNA". It matches the Rfam family "Bacterial small subunit ribosomal RNA", at positions 29 to 508 of the family's 1533-position model. The record is from RNAcentral.
AGUGAACGCUGGCGGUAGGCCUAACACAUGCAAGUCGAACGGCAGCACAGUAAGAGCUUGCUCUUACGGGUGGCGAGUGGCGGACGGGUGAGGAAUACAUCGGAAUCUACUUUUUCGUGGGGGAUAACGUAGGGAAACUUACGCUAAUACCGCAUACGACCUACGGGUGAAAGCAGGGGAUCUUCGGACCUUGCGCGAUUGAAUGAGCCGAUGUCGGAUUAGCUAGUUGGCGGGGUAAAGGCCCACCAAGGCGACGAUCCGUAGCUGGUCUGAGAGGAUGAUCAGCCACACUGGAACUGAGACACGGUCCAGACUCCUACGGGAGGCAGCAGUGGGGAAUAUUGGACAAUGGGCGCAAGCCUGAUCCAGCCAUACCGCGUGGGUGAAGAAGGCCUUCGGGUUGUAAAGCCCUUUUGUUGGGGAAGAAAAGCAGCAGGUUAAUACCCCGCUGUUCUGACGGUACCCAAAGAAUAAGCACCGGCUAACUUCGUGC